RNAcentral lists this ribosomal RNA (440 nucleotides) under uncultured bacterium. Its description in RNAcentral is "partial 16S ribosomal RNA". It matches the Rfam family "Bacterial small subunit ribosomal RNA", at positions 338 to 795 of the family's 1533-position model. The record is from RNAcentral.
CCUACGGGUGGCAGCAGUGGGGAAUAUUGCACAAUGGGGGAAACCCUGAUGCAGCGACGCCGCGUGAGUGAAGAAGGAACUCGGGGUGUAAAGCUCUAUCAGCAGGGAAGAAAAUGACGGUACCUGAGUAAGAAGCCCCGGCUAACUACGUGCCAGCAGCCGCGGUAAUACGUAGGGGGCAAGCGUUAUCCGGAUUUACUGGGGGUAAAGGGCGCGUAGACGGCACUGCAAGUCAGGAGUGAAAGGCGGGGGCGCAACCCCGGGACUGCUCUUGAAACUGGAGGGCUGGAGUGCAGGAGGGGGAAGUGGAAUUCCUGGUGUAGCGGUGAAAUGCGUAGAUAUUAGGAGGAACACCGGUGGCGAAGGCGGCUUACUGGACUGUAACUGACGUUGAGGCUCGAAAGCGUGGGGAGCAAACAGGAUUAGAUACCCUAGUAGUC